GCUCCUGUAGAUCAAUGGAAGAGCGGCUGCCCGGUAAGCAGCAGACGAGCGUUCGAUUCGCUCCAGGAGCUCCA
RNAcentral lists this transfer RNA (74 nucleotides) under marine sediment metagenome. RNAcentral describes it as "tRNA-Thr". It matches the Rfam family "tRNA". Rfam says of the family: Transfer RNA (tRNA) molecules are approximately 80 nucleotides in length. Their secondary structure includes four short double-helical elements and three loops (D, anti-codon, and T loops). The record is from RNAcentral.